GCUAAUACCCGGAUAACAACAGAUGAUGCCUAUCAACUGUUUAAAAGAUGGGUUCUGCUAUCACUCUUGGGAUGGGACCUGCGGUGCAUUUAGCUAGUUGGUAGGGUAACGGGCCUACCAAGGCGAUGAUGCAUAGCCCGAGUUGAGAGACUGAUCGGGCCACAUUGGGGACUGAGACACGGGCCCAAAACUCCUACGGGGAGGCAGCAGUAGGGAAUCUUCCACAAUGGACGCAAGUCUGAUGGAGCAACGCCGCGUGAGUGAAGAAGGGUUUCGGCUACGUAAAGCUCUGUUGUUGGUGAAGAAGGACAGGGGUAGUAACUGACCUUUGUUUGACGGUAAUCAAUUAGAAAGUCACGGCUAACUACGUGCCAGCAGCCGCGGUAAU
Molecule: ribosomal RNA, 388 nt
Filed under: uncultured Lactobacillus sp.
Lineage: Bacteria; Bacillati; Bacillota; Bacilli; Lactobacillales; Lactobacillaceae
Description: bacterial SSU rRNA
Rfam family: Bacterial small subunit ribosomal RNA
Source: RNAcentral